This 557-nucleotide ribosomal RNA is filed under the name Rhombophryne vaventy. RNAcentral's name for it is "partial 16S ribosomal RNA". The stretch from base 19 to 136 matches the Rfam family "Bacterial large subunit ribosomal RNA", at positions 714 to 852 of the family's 2925-position model. Lineage: Eukaryota; Metazoa; Chordata; Amphibia; Anura; Microhylidae. The record is from RNAcentral.
GCACUUAAAGUUUGACCCCCCGAAACUUAAGCGAGCUACUUUACAACAGCCCAUAGAGCCAACCCGUCCCUGUUACAAAAGGGUGGGAAGAUUUUAAAGUAGCGGUGACACACCCAUCGAGCCUAGAGAUAGCUGGUUAUUCAGAAAAAGGAUUUAAGUCCAACUUUAAGCCCACCCCACGUAACACUAAACACACCAACAACUUAAAAGCCAUUCAAAUGGGGUACAGCCCACUUGAACAAGGAAACAGCCUACAACACCGGGUAACGACCAACACACGUGACAAAGUAGGCCUAAAAGCAGCCAACUUCCAAAAAGCGUCCAAGCUUCUCCACCAACCAUUCCCAAUCCCACCAUUAAAACACAACCCACACCCAAUACUGAAUGAUCCCAUACCCCCCCCCCCCCCCACAUGAGAGUCAUCAUGCUAGAACUAGUAACAAGAAGCAAAGAGCUUCUCCAAAAAUGUAAGCAUAAGCCAAAAUGAACCCAUCACCGGCACCCACCGCCACCCCGCAGUACCACCUCCCCCAAGAAAAACCUACUGCACCAAGCGU